GAGCCCCAGCCUAGGAGCAUACUAGCAUCCUUGGGGAACAGCCCCCCAAAGCUGUUGGACUACAGAGUGGCAGGGAGGCUCUGAGAAUCCCUGCCCCAACCUAGUACUGAACAUCUGUAUUUCAGUGUGAUCUCUGCCACUGCCCCUCUCACUGAGCCCCGGCUCUUCCUUCAUACCUAAUGACCAGACCCACCCUACUCCUGUGAGGCCCCACCAAGAGCAGACUGGAUGAGACCCUGAAUGCAGACAGAUGCUCCUAUGGAGGCUCUCCCUGCCUUCCUGAGUGAAAAGGCAGGACCCACCUCUGACUGGCAUUGCUCCCAACCCUGCCUUAGUUGCCUGGCAACAGCUCUGCGUCUCUAGCCAGGGACACACAAUGGCCGGUGGCGGUCCAGCAGCUAAGAGGGUAGUGGUGUACCGGAAUGGGGACCCCUUCUCCCCAGGCCGCCAGCUGGUGGUGACUCAACGCCGCUUCCCCACCCUGGAGACCUUCCUCUCGGAGGUGACCUUGGCUGUGCAGGCCCCAGUGGCCGUGCGUGCUCUCUACACCCCUUGUCAUGGCCACCCUGUCACCGACCUGGCAGACCUGCAGAACGGAGGGCUGUAUGUGGCUGCUGGCUUCGAACAUUUCCACAGGCUCCCCUAUUUACCCCCUGGAGGGAAGGAUCCAGGUGGGAAGAGCAGCAGAUUGGCAGGUCCUCCCGUGACUCGGCAGCUGUGUGAUGGGGCCCUUGGACGGCAGCUACCUGCAGGUUCCCCCUGCUACAUCCAUGUGUUCAGGAAUGGGGACCUGUCAAGUCCUCCAUUCAGCCUGAAGCUGUCCCAGGCCGCCAGCGAGGACUGGGAAGCACUGUUGAAGCUCCUGACGAAGAAGGUGAAAUUACAGAGCGGGGCUGUGCACAAGCUCUGCACCCUGGAUGGGCUCCCACUGUCAGCAAGGGAGGCUCUGGUGAACGGCCAUUACUAUGUGGCCGUUGGAGAGGAUGAGUUCAAGGCCCUCCCCUAUCUGGAGCUGCUGGUGCCCAGUUCCUCACUGCCCGGGGGCUGCUGCCUUCUCUUUUUUCAUUGCAGGAGUCCCCCAGAUCCAAAGUCCAAGCCCCACAAGCAGGUGGCCCAGGGCCAUAGAGCACAGGCAAGCCAGUCCUCUCCAAAUGAAGCCAGACAGAUCAAGCCAUCUGCUUUCUAUGCCAGACCCCAACGAGCUAUUGAGCCAAGAAAUAUGUUCCCCACACUCUCAUUUCCAUCAGGAACCAAGGGAGUGUAUGGGGCUCCCCACCCAAGGAAGGAGAUGGCAGGGGCCCAGGAAGUAGCAGAUGAUGAAGACACCCAGACAGAGAAGCCCUUGGAUCAGCGAGCAGCACAGAUAGUGGAAGAGGCCCUGUUCCUGGAAGACCAGCCUGGGGCUGGGGCAGCUAUCUCAGCCUGAUGCCUGCUCCACCAUCUUGAGAUCCGGCAGCUCCAGCCAGGAACUGGGGACCUUCAUUCUGCAGCCAUCUUUUAUCCUCAGCCUCCAGCAUCCUGUUCUCAAGGAACCAGUGUCUCCUCUGGGCUCACUGAAGGGAUAAAUCGCAGCAAAGCUCAGGAUUCAAACUCAGGUCUCCUGACUUCAAAUUCAGUGCUUCCUCAGGAUUCCAGCAAGAAGACCUAAACUACAAGGUCUGGGACCAUCUUGGUUUGCUGAUGAUGAAACUGAGACCCAAGGCAGAUAAGAGACUCAUCCAAGAGCUUCUGGCGACAACUGCCGGGCCCAGGUCCGCUCAUGAACCUGCCGCAGGCGGGAGGAGGCCCGCUUCAGCAAUGGCUGCGUGCCGCCCCACAGAGCUGCC
Odocoileus virginianus texanus is the source of this 1826-nucleotide non-coding RNA. The record is from RefSeq and is a predicted model, not a curated record. Lineage: Eukaryota; Metazoa; Chordata; Mammalia; Artiodactyla; Cervidae.